GGAUGGAUGUCUAAGCCGUUAAAAAGAGUUGGUUUUGAAUAUCGAAGUAUUGAUAGGAAUAUCGGGGGGUUCGAAUCCUUCUCCAUUCG
Molecule: non-coding RNA, 89 nt
Organism: Ilex paraguariensis (yerba mate)
Lineage: Eukaryota; Viridiplantae; Streptophyta; Magnoliopsida; Aquifoliales; Aquifoliaceae
Source: the annotation of a GenBank genome assembly